GACGAAGGCUAGCGGGAGGCUUAACACAUGCAAGUCGAGGGGCAGCAUAGGGUAGCAAUACUCUGAUGGCGACCGGCAAACGGGUGAGUAACGCGUAUGCAACCUACCCUGUACAGGGGGAUAACCCGGAGAAAUUCGGACUAAUAUCCCGUAAUAAUAUCCGGAGGCAUCUUUGGAUAUUUAAAGUUCCGACGGUACGGGAUGGGCAUGCGUAACAUUAACUGGUUGGUAAGGUAACGGCUUACCAAGGCUAUGAUGUUUAGGGGUCCUGAGAGGGUGGUCCCCCACACUGGUACUGAGACACGGACCAGACUCCUACGGGAGCAGCAGUGAGGAAUAUUGGUCAAUGGGCGCAAGCCUGAACCAGCCAUCCCGCGUGCAGGAAGACGGCCCUAUGGGUUGUAAACUGCUUUUCCAGGGAGAGAAACUUACGCACGUGUUGCGUGACUGACGGUACCCUGGGAAUAAGCAUCGGCUAACUCCGUG
Molecule: ribosomal RNA, 486 nt
Filed under: uncultured bacterium
Lineage: Bacteria
Description: bacterial SSU rRNA
Rfam family: Bacterial small subunit ribosomal RNA
Source: RNAcentral